CUCAAUUUGAUUAUAAGAGAUUGUACGUGUCAUCAAUUGGUUGGACAAACCGAUUAAUAGAGAUAAAAAGUUUUUUUUUAUUGUCGAUUGAUUUUUUUUUCUUCCUCUUCCUCUCUUUGUCUCUCUCUCGAACUCGCGAAUUAACAAUCGAAGAAGAAGAUGGAAGUAGAGGAGAUUCGUGUCGGAGGAGAUGCGAAUCGGAGGAGGGUAACCGCGCGUUAACAACUUCCAUCGGUUUUGGAUUUGAGGUUCUUUGGAGGAAGAUACAAGUGUGAGAUGUUAAUCCUGGUUGUGUUUUUUGAGAGGACACUGUGUCGCUCCAAGUCUCUUGUCUGAUAUUUAUUGUUUUGUGGUGUAUUGGUGCAUGUGUUCAGAAAAUUCUUAGAAUUCAGGUAUGUUCAUAUAAAGAUGGGAAAGUUAUUAUUGACACUGCUGCUGGAGUGCUUGGAAGAUAUGACCCGAUAGUUUAUUUCCUGUUUUCUCUGUGACAAAGGGUGUCACUGACGGAAUGAUACAUUGGCCUGUUUUUCAUGUAUUCAUUUCACACACCUUGACAUUCUGAAUCGCCUUCAAGUAUUACAUAUUGGUCUCAUUAUUAAUUCCAUGAUCUCAUUUGCAGAACUCAUGCUUAGUCAUACUUUACUUUAACUGGUUGUGGACCUUGUGUUCAUGAUCCUUCACUUGAUUUUGAUCUUCUUCCAGGAAGUUCUAUGGGUCAUAAUAAUCUGCAAUAUCAGACAUGGAUAAGCCUCUUAUGACCGACAUUGCUUUGACUGCAAUGGAAGAGUUGCUUAGGCCUCUUCAUGGAUUGUGUAAAGGCAAAGUGUGAUCGUGGAAUCCAGGCAAUGAAGAGGAG
Non-coding RNA from Camelina sativa (false flax), 856 nucleotides. NCBI's taxonomy places the organism in Eukaryota, Viridiplantae, Streptophyta, Magnoliopsida, Brassicales, Brassicaceae. The record is from RefSeq and is a predicted model, not a curated record.